Ceratitis capitata (Mediterranean fruit fly) is the source of this 394-nucleotide long non-coding RNA. RefSeq lists it as uncharacterized. The transcript is spliced from 2 exons. Lineage: Eukaryota; Metazoa; Arthropoda; Insecta; Diptera; Tephritidae. The record is from RefSeq and is a predicted model, not a curated record.
UGCGUAGCCAAGUUACAGUUGCAGCCAUUCAGCACUCCCGGCAAGCCGCCCACCUACGCUCCUCCAUCUUUAUAAAUAUAGAGAUAUGUGUAGCGAUUACGUCAACUGAUUCUCAAAUAAGAGAUAUUAUUAAACAUAAAAAAUAAAAUCAACGAUAUAAUAACAUACAUACAAACGCCUAAAGAAGAUUUCAGGUAAAAAGCUAAAAGGAAUGUGCAUAUACUACUAUCAUUAUGUACAUAUGUAUAUAUAGACAUAUUUAUGUAUGUAAAAUUAAUACACUCGACGGAUGUGGUGACUCCUUAUGGUUAUGGCGUUAAAAAAGCGUAAAAGUGUGAAAUAUAUUUAUAUGCAAAUAGGCUAAUGAAAGUAGUAGAAAAUGGCAGGCCUGUAU